This 519-nucleotide long non-coding RNA is filed under the name Brassica rapa (field mustard). RNAcentral's name for it is "long non-coding RNA (BRAP_LNC004041)". The record is from RNAcentral. Lineage: Eukaryota; Viridiplantae; Streptophyta; Magnoliopsida; Brassicales; Brassicaceae.
GCAAAAGAAAGAAAUAUAAUUGGGCCAUAGAUUACUGGCCACAACAUACUUUAAUAAUCCGUUGAACACUUAGGGUAUGAACGGUGACCAGAGAAUGACGAGGAAUAAUGCAUUCUUUAACGUUUUUUUUUUAUUUCUUUUUUUGUAGAGAAUUAAAGAACAAAAGUAUUCCUUGUUAAAAUUGAUAAGGAAUAACCAUUCUUUUUUAUUCAUACUAUUUUAUUUCCGAACAUUCAUUUUUUAUUUGUUCCUUUUGUUUCCCGAAUGGUCACCAAUCAGACCCUAAGUAAAUUGGAACAUUGAACUAUGUUAUGCCUCGAGUAGAACGGGAUACUCUCUAUUAGUUUUCCGAUCACUUUCUUUUAAUCAAAAGGGAUAAAAGGACGUGUAUUAGUUCAUAUAGCCCAACAUGAAGCUUUUUUGUACAUUCUUGUUUAACGCCUUUAUGGCCGAAUAGAUCACAAGGGACCCAUGUCAACAACUAUGCAAUAUCAAUUGGUCGAUAAUUAUGAUGUUUAU